GCUCCCGUAGCUCAGUUGGAUAGAGCGCAAGCUUGCGGAGCUUGAGGCCACAGGUUCGAAUCCUGUCGAGAGCACAA
Molecule: transfer RNA, 77 nt
Filed under: Candidatus Moranbacteria bacterium CG06_land_8_20_14_3_00_40_12
Lineage: Bacteria; Candidatus Moraniibacteriota
Also listed under: 1 other name
Description: tRNA-Arg
Rfam family: tRNA
About the family: Transfer RNA (tRNA) molecules are approximately 80 nucleotides in length. Their secondary structure includes four short double-helical elements and three loops (D, anti-codon, and T loops).
Source: RNAcentral